This 138-nucleotide small nucleolar RNA is filed under the name Ornithorhynchus anatinus (platypus). Lineage: Eukaryota; Metazoa; Chordata; Mammalia; Monotremata; Ornithorhynchidae. The record is from RNAcentral.
CCCCUCUCAGGGUCGCACCUGGAGAGUUUUCAGUACUCUACCAGUCUCAGCUACAGGAGGGAGAGUCAAGCAGAGACCUACCCAUUCCAUUCCUAGCUUGGGCAGUGGCUAGCGAGUGGAAGGCAAUCUGCUAUAAGU